This 399-nucleotide long non-coding RNA is filed under the name Bos taurus (domestic cattle). Its description in RNAcentral is "long non-coding RNA NONBTAT019618". Lineage: Eukaryota; Metazoa; Chordata; Mammalia; Artiodactyla; Bovidae. The record is from RNAcentral.
GUGGAAUUUUUAACUGGGUGUAGAGUAUCAUUAAUUUCCUCCCAUUAGAAAAGGUACUAAAAGUGUAUGCUACUGUGAGAAAAUGGGAGAAAACCUUUCUGUCUAAUUUUUCUACCUCAGGAUAAUGUUUACAGACAUUACAGUGUUAAAAGCACUGUAAAGAAGUUUUGGUCAAGGAAUUAAGGAUCCCAGUCUACCAAUGGUGAACUAUAUCAUCAUAAUUUUAAACUAUAUUUUCCAUAUGUAAAGAGAGAUUAAAAUUUUAAAUCUCACAGCAUUAUUAUGAAGACAAUUUUAGAUAAUGAAUGUGAAAUUAUUGCAUAAAUGCAAGGAUUUAUAGCUUUGUAGGAAAGUCUGAUUACAGUUGGAUUUGCCAUAAUCAGUUAAUGUUUAACAAGU